RNAcentral lists this ribosomal RNA (441 nucleotides) under uncultured bacterium. Its description in RNAcentral is "partial 16S ribosomal RNA". It matches the Rfam family "Bacterial small subunit ribosomal RNA", at positions 338 to 795 of the family's 1533-position model. The record is from RNAcentral.
CCUACGGGAGGCAGCAGUGGGGAAUAUUGCACAAUGGGGGAAACCCUGAUGCAGCAACGCCGCGUGAAGGACGACGGUUCUCGGCUUGUAAACUUCUGUUUUUAGUGAAGAAUAAUGACGGCAGCUAAGGAGCAAGCCACGGCUUACUACGUGCCAGCAGCCGCGGUCAUACGUAGGUGGCAAGCGUUGUCCGGAAUUACUGGGUGUAAAGGGAGCGCAGGCGGGAAGCCUAGUCAGCUGUGAAAAGUACGGGCUUAAAUUGUAGACAGCAGUUGAACCUGGUUUUCUUGAGUGAAGGAGAGGUUGGCGGAAUGCCGAGUGGAGCGGUGAAAUGCGUAGAUAUUCGGAGGAACACCGGUGGCGAAGGCGGCCAACUGGGCGUGAACUGACGCUGAGGCUCGAAAGUGUGGGGAGCAAACAGGAUUAGAUACCCGAGUAGUC